RNAcentral lists this ribosomal RNA (369 nucleotides) under uncultured bacterium. RNAcentral describes it as "partial 16S ribosomal RNA". It matches the Rfam family "Bacterial small subunit ribosomal RNA", at positions 338 to 724 of the family's 1533-position model. The record is from RNAcentral.
CCUACGGGUGGCAGCAGUGGGGGAUAUUGCACAAUGGACGGAAGUCUGAUGCAGCGACGCCGCGUGAGUGAAGGAGGGUUUCGGCGCGUAAAGCUCUAUUGUCAGGGAAGAAGAUGACUGUACCUGGCCAAUAAGCCCCGUCUAACUACGGUACAGCACCGGCGGGAAUACGUAGGGGACAAGCGUGAUCCGGAUUUACUGGGUGUAAAGGGGGCGCAGACGACAAUGCAAGCCAGGAGGGAAAGCCCGGGGCCCAACCCCGGGACUGCUGUUGGAACUGGCUGGCUGGAGUACAGGAGGGGAGGGCGGAAGUCCUAGUGUAGCGGUGAAAUGCGUAGAUAUUAGGAGGAACACCGGUGGCGAAGGCGG